Schizosaccharomyces pombe (fission yeast) is the source of this 212-nucleotide non-coding RNA. Lineage: Eukaryota; Fungi; Ascomycota; Schizosaccharomycetes; Schizosaccharomycetales; Schizosaccharomycetaceae. The record is from the annotation of a GenBank genome assembly.
ACCAGACUGAUCCUCGAUACAGUUGGGAAUCGUCUUUGGCUGAUAUGGAGAAGAGCUAAGAUGACGGACAAGCAAGUAUGGGGGAUGCCCAUCCUUAUAUAGCGAAGCGUGAGACGAAAUGACGUUGAGUCAACUUAGGUUAGGGUUUACGUGAGGAGGAGUCUAUGGCGAAAAAGGACGGCAAGUUGGGAAGCAAAACCAGGGUAACGUAG